RNAcentral lists this ribosomal RNA (429 nucleotides) under Gemmatimonadota bacterium. Its description in RNAcentral is "Gemmatimonadetes bacterium partial 16S ribosomal RNA". It matches the Rfam family "Bacterial small subunit ribosomal RNA", at positions 355 to 776 of the family's 1533-position model. Lineage: Bacteria; Pseudomonadati; Gemmatimonadota. The record is from RNAcentral.
UAGGGAAUCUUCGGCAAUGGACGCAAGUCUGACCGAGCAACGCCGCGUGAGUGAAGAAGGUUUUCGGAUCGUAACACUCUGUUGUUAGAGAAGAACAAGGACGUUAGUAACUGAACGUCCCCUGACGGUAUCUAACCAGAAAGCCACGGCUAACUACGUGCCAGCAGCCGCGGUAAUACGUAGGUGGCAAGCGUUGUCCGGAUUUAUUGGGCGUAAAGCGAGCGCAGGCGGUUUCUUAAGUCUGAUGUGAAAGCCCCCGGCUCAACCGGGGAGGGUCAUUGGAAACUGGGAGGCUUGAGUGCAGAAGAGGAGGGAGGAAUUCCAUGUGUGGCGGUGAAAUGCGUAGAUAGAUGGAGGAACACCAGUGGCGAAGGCGGCUCUCUGGGCUGUAACUGACGCUGAGGCUCGAAAGCGUGGGGAGCAAACAGG